RNAcentral lists this ribosomal RNA (460 nucleotides) under Semisulcospira nakasekoae. RNAcentral's name for it is "partial 16S ribosomal RNA". Lineage: Eukaryota; Metazoa; Mollusca; Gastropoda; Semisulcospiridae. The record is from RNAcentral.
GAAAUUUCAUUCGCACUAGUGAUAGCUAGUUUCCUCGAAAAGAUAUAAAAGUGUGGGGAAAAAUAUAAUUUAUAAUAUGAAUUAUUAUAUAUAUAUGUAUUUUACUAAUUUUUUUGAGGAUAAGCUCAAAAAAAAGUUAAGGAUUAUUCUUAAUUAAGUUUGCUAUAUGGGCUUAAAAUUGGCCGCUAUAAAAGUUUUUUAUAAAAUAGUAACUUUAGCCUUAUAGAUAAAUAUAAUUUAAACUAACUUUUUUACGGGGAUAAAAACUUUAAUUUAAAAAAGUUUUAUGCCUAUGCUAGGAUGAGUAUUAAAACUUAAUUAUAGAAGAUUUAUUUGUAUCUUCUUUAAAAAUAAUUAAAAAAAUUAAUUAAUUAGAAGGAAUUCGGCAAAUUUAGUUGUUUCGCCUGUUUAUCAAAAACAUGGCUCUUUGAUUAUAUAAAUAUAAAGAGUCGGCCUGCCC